GACGAACGCUGGCUGCGUGCUUAACACAUGCAAGUCGAACGCUGAAGCUGGGUGCUUGCACCUGGUGGAUGAGUGGCGAACGGGUGAGUAACACGUGAGUAACCUGCCCCUGAUUUCGGGAUAAGCCUGGGAAACUGGGUCUAAUACCGGAUAUGACCAACUGAGGCAUCUUGGUUGGUGGAAAGUUUUUCGAUUGGGGAUGGGCUCGCGGCCUAUCAGCUUGUUGGUGGGGUAAUGGCCUACCAAGGCGACGACGGGUAGCCGGCCUGAGAGGGCGACCGGCCACACUGGGACUGAGACACGGCCCAGACUCCUACGGGAGGCAGCAGUGGGGAAUAUUGCACAAUGGGGGAAACCCUGAUGCAGCGACGCAGCGUGCGGGAUGACGGCCUUCGGGUUGUAAACCGCUUUCAGCAGGGAAGAAGCGAAAGUGACGGUACCUGCAGAAGAAGUACCGGCUAACUACGUGCCAGCCGCCGCCGUAACAC
Molecule: ribosomal RNA, 488 nt
Filed under: uncultured bacterium
Lineage: Bacteria
Description: bacterial SSU rRNA
Rfam family: Bacterial small subunit ribosomal RNA
Source: RNAcentral